GGAGUAUAGCUCAGUGGUAGAGCGCGUGCUUAGCAUGCUCAAGAUUCUAGGUUCAAUCCCCAGUGCCUCCA
RNAcentral lists this transfer RNA (71 nucleotides) under Camelus bactrianus (Bactrian camel). It matches the Rfam family "tRNA". Rfam says of the family: Transfer RNA (tRNA) molecules are approximately 80 nucleotides in length. Their secondary structure includes four short double-helical elements and three loops (D, anti-codon, and T loops). The record is from Rfam by way of RNAcentral. Lineage: Eukaryota; Metazoa; Chordata; Mammalia; Artiodactyla; Camelidae. RNAcentral also lists the same sequence under 2 other names.